This 301-nucleotide ribosomal RNA is filed under the name uncultured bacterium. Its description in RNAcentral is "partial 16S ribosomal RNA". It matches the Rfam family "Bacterial small subunit ribosomal RNA", at positions 509 to 809 of the family's 1533-position model. The record is from RNAcentral.
CAGUCGCCACGGGAAUACGUAGGUGGCAAGCGUUGUCCGGAAUUAUUGGGCGUAAAGGGCUCGCAGGCGGUUUCUUAAGUCUGAUGUGAAAGCCCCCGGCUCAACCGGGGAGGGUCAUUGGAAACUGGGAAACUUGAGUGCAGAAGAGGAGAGUGGAAUUCCACGUGUAGCGGUGAAAUGCGUAGAGAUGUGGAGGAACACCAGUGGCGAAGGCGACUCUCUGGUCUGUAACUGACGCUGAGGAGCGAAAGCGUGGGGAGCGAACAGGAUUAGAGACCCCAGUAGUCCCUGUCUCUUAUAA